This 289-nucleotide unclassified non-coding RNA is filed under the name Athelopsis sp. Its description in RNAcentral is "partial contains 5.8S ribosomal RNA, internal transcribed spacer 2, and large subunit ribosomal RNA". The stretch from base 1 to 52 matches the Rfam family "5.8S ribosomal RNA", at positions 103 to 154 of the family's 154-position model. Lineage: Eukaryota; Fungi; Basidiomycota; Agaricomycetes; Atheliales; Atheliaceae. The record is from RNAcentral. RNAcentral also lists the same sequence under 1 other name.
AACGCAUCUUGCGCUCCUUGGUAUUCCGAGGAGCAUGCCUGUUUGAGUGUCGUGAAGUCUAUCGAUCCGUGGCCCUUUGUAAUCGGGGGGCCGGUGGGUCGGAUUUGGACGCUGCCGUCCUUCGUGGACGGCUCGUCUCGAAAUGCAUUAGCUGUUCCCAUCCACAGACAACGGUGUGAUAAGAAACUCGCUGGCGUCGGUGGUAACGAAAUGGGUCGGCUCACAGUCGUCUUCGGACAAAACAUCAUCAUAUGACCUCAAAUCAGGUAGGACUACCCGCUGAACUUAA